This 234-nucleotide unclassified non-coding RNA is filed under the name Hevea brasiliensis (rubber tree). The record is from RNAcentral. Lineage: Eukaryota; Viridiplantae; Streptophyta; Magnoliopsida; Malpighiales; Euphorbiaceae.
AAUUCUUAUCCUGUAUAAUACUGCAGAACCAGGAUUCGAACCAUGACAUUUCCCUUCUCAUAUUGAAAACAAAAGUUCAAUAAACAGAUAAAAAAAAUUUGAUAUUUAUUAUUACUACCAUAUAUACAUGCCAGUGAAUUUGGCAUUUCCUAUUUUCUCCUGUUUUUCCUUCUUUUAACAUGUUGUGGGCCCUGAAAAUUUUCUGGUGCAGCUGUAGUUGGGCAAGGUUUUGUU